Molecule: transfer RNA, 76 nt
Filed under: Bacteroidales bacterium
Lineage: Bacteria; Pseudomonadati; Bacteroidota; Bacteroidia; Bacteroidales
Also listed under: 1 other name
Description: tRNA-Pro
Rfam family: tRNA
About the family: Transfer RNA (tRNA) molecules are approximately 80 nucleotides in length.
Source: RNAcentral
CGGGGUGUGGCGCAGUUGGUAGCGCGCUACGUUCGGGACGUAGAGGCCGCCCGUUCGAGUCGGGUCACCCCGACCA